GGGUCAGUAGGUUGGUCGUGCCACCGGUACGUACUGGUCUCACUGAUUCCUCCUUCCUGAAGAACCGUAACGCCAUUAAUUUGGUGUUGCGGGGAAACAGGACUGUUACUUUGAAAAAAUUAGAGUGUUUAAAGCAAGCUAACGCUUGAAUACAUUAGCGCGGAAUAAUGAAAUAGGACGAUCGAUCCUAUUUUGUUGGUUUCUAGGAUUGACGUA
This 216-nucleotide ribosomal RNA is filed under the name Glomeromycotina sp. RNAcentral describes it as "partial small subunit ribosomal RNA". The stretch from base 75 to 216 matches the Rfam family "Eukaryotic small subunit ribosomal RNA", at positions 721 to 864 of the family's 1831-position model. Lineage: Eukaryota; Fungi; Glomeromycota. The record is from RNAcentral.